Poecilia reticulata (guppy) is the source of this 3874-nucleotide non-coding RNA. The record is from RefSeq and is a predicted model, not a curated record. NCBI's taxonomy places the organism in Eukaryota, Metazoa, Chordata, Actinopteri, Cyprinodontiformes, Poeciliidae.
UUUUAUUACAUUAAGGUUAUAUAUUCAGCCGAAAUUUGCCUAUUGGUGAAUAUUCUACACAUACCAAGAAUAUGGGUUGUUUGUCAGAGUUUUGACCAUUUAUGAUACAUUUUAUUAUUUUUCAUACUAAAAACAUAAGUUCAUAUACAUUGAUGCUUCUCCCAGAAAUCCCAGCAGGAUGAAGAAUACCCAGAAACACGGAUUUUCUAUUAAAAUAUCACAUUUUUGGAACGUUUAUGCUCCGAACUAUAAUUUUAAGCACCAAAACUACCAGAAAAAGGAAACUAUUUCAAGGAAGCUGCUUUAGAAAACCACUUGGUAACUCCUCUUUACUGGCUUCCUGCUGGUUCCAGUUCAACAGGCUGCUGUCAAAACCAUUUCCAUGACUUAUACAUUUUGUUCCGAUUUAAAAAUCAAAUGCAGACGAAUUUUUAAAGCAGCAAGAUUGGGAAUAAAAACAAUUUGGGCAGCUGUGAUGUAGCAGUGACAGUUUUAGGUUUUCAUUUAUAAAUAUAAGCAACAGAAGGUUCACAUAAGUAAUGUGUGGGUGUGCACAGGCAUGCAAAUGUGUGGAGGUGUUAAAUGUGUUGACACACACAAAUGAAUCACAUAUUGUGGAUGUAAAUCCAUAUGCACAGUGUGAAGGAGAUAACAGUCAGAAAAAUCCUAAAAACACACGAGAAACAUGGACUAACCAGGUUAUUUAUAGGAAGAAAUCCUGCUAAUUAUCACAGGAUAAGAAAAAAGUUGCUAACAUGACCAGAUGUGAAUUUAUGUAUAGAGUAAAAAGUUUGUAAAAAAAAAAAAAAAAAUCAUUUAAAAAUUAUUAAUUUCAUCAAAACAUGCUUAAAAAGCGUGAUAACAUUUUUUUUUUAGCUCGGGCUGAAGCAAGUGAUGACAAGAGUAAAAAUCGUUUUCAGAACUAAAACCGAUAUAAUAAAGUAUUGACCGUUUGGACAUGACGUCACGCUCUUCGUAACUCCGCCCACUCCGCCAUGAUGAACGUCAAGACAACCAAUGCGCUCCUUUAAAGCUAGUCUGAAAACACAUCUGUAACCUCUGCAGCGAACACUUUUUACAAGCAAAACAAAUGUCCUUCCGCAGGACGAACACAAAGAUGGAGGCGCAGAAACGGAGAGCUUGAAAGGAAAGGAGGGAAUACAGUGAAACACCUGAACGGCAGAUAAAAGGGGAGGGGAAGCGACGGAUGAUUAACCCCGUCUCCAAGGCUGGACGGACGGCGACCUUCACCUCCAGACGGAGGUCGCCGCACCGCAGCAGGAAGCCAGGAGGAGCAGCGGACAUGACGAAAACGUCACGAUUCUCCACACGUGUGACACAUUUCCUGUAAAACUCAACAAGCUGCUAGAAGACGCGCUCAUGGCGAGGAGAGCGACAGCAACCCGGAGUCAGAGGCGCAGAGCCGCUGACCUCUUGGCAAACCCAGCCUGCUGGAGCCAAGUGAUCACCGCAGGCUACAAACGGCGCUACAGACAACACAGCCACACGCACAGGCAGGCGGACCCAGGGCGGGUCGGCAGAACCGAGCCGGAAACGGCAGGAGGAGGAGAACAAGCAACACAAUCUCUCCUGCAAGCUCUCCUCUCCCUGAAUUCCCGCAGCAUAAUACUGCCACCCAGGGCAGCAGGUAAGUUCUUUCUGAUGUAUGCAGGCAGUUUUCAAUGCACAAAACGCCGUCAAAUGCAGAAAAUGUUAACUAGAAAUAAUUAUUCUGCAUAUUUUGCACUUUUUAUGCCACUGCAGUCGCUCUCAGACCGGGCCGGCCCAAAUCAAUGCAAAUUAAGCGGCUGGGUAGGGCGCCACACCACCAGGGGGCCCCCAAGAGCAACAAGCUAGCGUUUGUUUUCUGUUUUUGCGUUAAUUUCCUGCGCGGCUGCGGACUGUAACCGGACCCCCGCUGAGCGGCUCGCCGCCACUCGAGCUGUGAAGCCGUGCCCAGCCAGGCGACGCAUCCGUCAGGCGGCCGCCACCACACACAAACUUGACCUUUGUGUAGUGCUUGUGCAAAAGGUCAGGCAUUGCUCAACGCUCGCACAGCAACAACGUCAUCAUGGAUGAACUUCACCAGCCUUCAGGCCCGAGGAGGAAUCGACAUGAGCAGAAUAUGCAAAACUGCUUCACUGAUGAAACCUCAAGUUUUGACUGUGAUUCAUGAAUUUUAAGUGUAACAGACCAGGAACGCCCGACCGCGUCAGAAACGACCAGACCUAUUUACAUCCACAAAGGAGGCAGAAUUCGGCCUUCAGCUCCAAACGGAGCUCCUAAGUCUGCAGAACGCUUCGCAGCAUCGCGGCACAAAUGAAAUGCUUCCUGGAAACACAAUGACGGGCGUUUGUGGAGAUCCGGCUGGAGAGAAGUCAGACACAGACGCUGCUGACCUCUGACCCCUGCCCUGUUUGGAGCGCUGUGGCGUGCAUUGUGCGGGGUAAACGCUGCACUGACCUUGUAGUUUGAUGAAAAAUUAACCUGCAACAAUGAUGCACAUUAACCCCUCGCCCCGACUCGUUCCCUUACAAACAUCCACGCUGCAGCUUCCGUCUUCGCUCCCCCCGUUUUCGUUCUCUCGUUCCUCUCUCCACAUUUAAAUCUUAGCCAGCAGAGUUGCCAUGGUUACCCAUUCACCACAGUCUCCCGCUCCGUCCAGCUGUAUCCCACCGACUCCGCAUCCUCCUCCCGCUCCCCCCUCAUUAGCACUCUAUACACACAAUCAUACACAAGAGGCCUAAACCAAAGUCUGAAUGACAUCAACUCUCCACGAAAAGGAGAAAAUGAAAGCCAAGAGGAAGAGCCACAAGCAGCCGGCGGCUGCGGCAGGGACGCCACGGCGAUGACGCUGAAAUCAGCAGCGAGUCACACGCUGGAAAAGUCAAGGUUGUUUUUAAGUGUUGGUUCAAAGACGUUUUUACCAGGAUCGACGUCAGUAAGCGGAUUGCUAAUAUGAGCUGCUGCUCCUUUUGCUGCAGCCCCUCUGCUAGGAAACUGAUGAGAACUACAAGAUGCACCGAUGCAUCUAAUUUUGGGCCGAUACUUACAAGUGAAGCCGAUCUUAUCCACUGAUCUUCUCUACCUCAGAUGUCUAAAAAUCGACCGCUGCUCUCUUCAGCUCUGCAGUGAGAGGUUUGAACGUUAUGGCACCUUCACAGCAAACACGAUUUGAGCAUCAAGAGCCAAAGUCUGCUUUACAGCGAUCCCUCGUUUUUUCACGGGGUUGCAUUCCGAAAAUAACCCGCGAUAAGUGAAAUCUGCAAAGUAGUUACCUUUAGUUUUUACAAUUAUUACACAGCAUAAUUAAAUACUCUACACUGAAACCAAAGAACAAAACCCGUGUUCAUCAAUCGGGCCUUAAUGUGAUCCAGUCAUGUCGUUACAGCGUUUCCUCCAAGCUGCCCUGCAGAUUCACAGCUGGAUCUACGGCGGAGCGACGGAUCUCAUCAGGCCUCCGGUCGGUUCUGCGCUGAUUCUGGACAGUUUUUUUCCAGCAGGCAUUCAAAGUUUUCAGCUUUCAUCUCCUGAAUGGCCAAUCUGUAUUACUUAUAUUUAAAUACCGUAACGUUAUUGGCACACAGGGAGAGAAGGAGCUCGGAGACGGUUUAGCCAAUCAGGACGCAGAACUCAAUGCACUGCGAACAAAACUGCAUAAAAACAAUCCGCGUAGCAGCGAAAGGUGAACCGCGUCAUAGCGAGGGAUCACUGUACAUCCAAAGUCAAUGUGGAGGCGUGAAGCGUUUUGAGCGUCCAACACGUCCAGAGUUGAGAAAUCUGAACGUUCGCUGCUCGACGAGGAGCGUCAACCAAUCAGAGAGACUCUACUACGUGACGUAGUGGCCAGUGGUUGGAGUCCUGCCAGGAGAUG